Gossypium raimondii (Peruvian cotton) is the source of this 1765-nucleotide long non-coding RNA. RefSeq lists it as uncharacterized. NCBI's taxonomy places the organism in Eukaryota, Viridiplantae, Streptophyta, Magnoliopsida, Malvales, Malvaceae. The record is from RefSeq and is a predicted model, not a curated record. The transcript has 6 exons.
AAACUGAAAUGCAAUAAAAGAGAAAAAUAAUUUAACACCUAACCCAGUCAAAAGGAACAACUAGACUCCAAUAGCGUCUGUUGAAUUAUCAUUUCCAAAGCUCUAACGUUCCAUUAAUAGCAGUCCCCAAAGCAUUAAUAUAUCACUUCUGCUAUCUGUUUUGAUUUCUUUUCCUGUGAAACAUUUCAUCAAUCUGGAUUUCUUGACCAAAUUCCUACCGAGGCAGAAGCGUGGCUCUCCAGAUCUACUCCUCUCAGAUAAGUAUUUUCUCCUUUCUCAAGCGCAUUCUUUGCUAAUCUGUGAGCAUCCAUGUUCUCCGAUCUAUGAGUGUACUGAAAAAUGAGUUCUUGAAAAUCGGCUUUCUUGUUCUGAAUAUCUCUAAUAAUGGCUCCGAUGACUGAUUUAUCUAUGGAAUUCUCCUGGCAUUUUUUUAUUACUGUUUUUGAAUCCUCCAUAAGAAUUACCGACUGGAUCCUUAGUAAAAUCUCUAGCUUUGCACCGUCUAAACAUGCAUAUGCCUCUGCAGCAAACGAAUAAGGAACGUUUCUAUGGAUAACUGUCUUUAAAACCUUAACAUUUCCCCUCAGAUCCCGUCCUACAAGGCCAGACGCUGAACUGAAAGUUUUACUGUUGUACGCUGCAUCGAAGUGGAUCUUGACUCUCGAACUAUAUCCACCAUAACGCGUAACAGAAUAGUAGACAUUGGCCGUUGUCGCUCCUCUUGAAGACCCAGGACAUUCUCGGAAGACGUAGAGGCUACCUUCAACCGUAGAACUGCAUCGAGAACUUCUGUCAUUUGAAACAACUCUCCUGAUUCUGAGGUUAACAAAGGUUGGUAAAAAAAUCCCAAGAGAUCCGCCAGAUUGUAAAUGCAAUUUUUGAUGGCAUCUGUAGGUUCCACAGUUUCUUGUAAAAUUCUUUUAUUUCGGUUUGUAAUAAAUAGUAACUAGGAUCUUAGUUAGCAAUUUGUAAUAGUUUAUAGGCACUGCGGACUAAGAACUCACCAGAUAAUUCUCCUUUCCAAACCUGAAAAUCUUUAUGCUCAAUCUCUGCAACGGGAAUUUGAAGAAUUUUCCGAGCAAUGUCCUCUUGAAAGCUAUCAUCCCAUAUAGAUAUCCUAUCUCCUCUGCCCACUCUCCAGCACAUCCCUCUUUAGAGAAGACCCUUUGCAGCCCAUAUACUUUUCCAGGUAAAAGAAGGACUAAAGAGCCAGAGAACACUACCACUAGCCGAUUGACUGAAUGAAGAGAUCCUUGAUAGACGUGGAAGAUCAAACAAUACAAAUCAAAAAUACCUAGAAAACUAAGAAAAAGAAACAAUCACAGAAACCUAAUACUCGUGCCAGAAGCGGCAGGCAGAACCGUGCUAGGAAUUAAAGGCCUAACCACCAACCGCACGCAACAAGGGAAAGAGGGAGCGUGGCUGGGAAGGCUCGAACAAUAAGGGUUGCCAUACUCACAACCAGCAGAUCCACCACUAAGGGGAAGCCAAAGCCACAGCAAAGGGUUGGAGAAAGAUCAUCGUCACCAUUGUGGACAUUGUUAGAGAGAUUCGAAGCAUUCGGAGCGGCAUCGAUAGCCAGCCUAUUAAGGAUUGAAGCAACUAGAUCGACAUCACCAUGUGCGAGCCGACAAGGCUUAUCGACAAGUGUAAAACACAUCUACUUUUGAAAAAUACUUGCUUAUCUCGUUGAGGUAUGAGAUAAAUCCCAUAAACAUCUUUUAAAUAAGAAUAUAAUUAUACCAUUGUUAUUAUUCAUCAUUUA